GUGCAGUGGGAGUGCUAUACAUGCAAGUCGAGCGGACAGAUGGGAGCUUGCUCCCUGAUGUUAGCGGCGGACGGGUGAGUAACACGUGGGUAACCUGCCUGUAAGACUGGGAUAACUCCGGGAAACCGGGGCUAAUACCGGAUGCUUGAUUGAACCGCAUGGUUCAAUUAUAAAAGGUGGCUUCGGCUACCACUUACAGAUGGACCCGCGGCGCAUUAACUAAUUGGUGAGGGAACGGCUCACCAAGGGAACGAUGCGUAACCGACCUGAGAGGGUGAUCGGCCACACUGGGACUGAAACACGGCCCAGACUCCUACGGGAGGCAGCAGUAGGGAAUCUUCCGCAAUGGACGAAAGUCUGACGGAGCAACGCCGCGUGAGUGAUGAAGGGUUUCGGAUCGUAAAACUCUGGUGGUAAGGAAGAACAAGUACCGUUCGAAUAGGGCGGUACCUUGACGGUACCUAACCAGAAAGCCACGGCUAACUACGUGCCAGCAGCCGCGGCAAUACGUAAGUGGCAAGCGUUGUCCGGAAUUAUUGGGCGUAAAGCGCGCGCAGGCGGUUUCUUAAGUCUGAUGUGAAAGCCCCCGGCUCAACCGGGGAGGGUCAUUGGAAACUGGGGAACUUGAGUGCAGAAGAGGAGAGUGGAAUUCCACGUGUAGCGGUGAAAUGCGUAGAGAUGUGGAAGGAACACCAGUGGCGAAAGCGACUCUCUGGUCUGUAACUGACGCUGAAGCGCGAAAGCGUGGGGAGCGCAACAGGAUUACAUACCCUGGUAGUCCACGCCGUAAACGAUGAAUGCUUACGUGCUAGAGGGAUUCCGCCCUUUAAUGCUGCAGCAAACGCAUUUAGCACUCCUGCUUGGGGAGGUACGGUCUGAGACUUGAAAUCAAAUGGAAUUGACCGUAAUA
RNAcentral lists this ribosomal RNA (910 nucleotides) under Bacillus licheniformis. Its description in RNAcentral is "bacterial SSU rRNA". It matches the Rfam family "Bacterial small subunit ribosomal RNA", at positions 33 to 921 of the family's 1533-position model. Lineage: Bacteria; Bacillati; Bacillota; Bacilli; Caryophanales; Bacillaceae. The record is from RNAcentral.